AUUGAACGCUGGCGGAAUGCUUUACACAUGCAAGUCGAACGGUAGAGGGGGCAACCCCUUGAGAGUGGCGAACGGGUGAGUAAUAUAUCGGAACGUGCCCAGUCGUGGGGAUAACGUAGCGAAAGUUACGCUAAUACCGCAUACGAUCUACGGAUGAAAGCGGGGGACUCGCAAGAGCCUCGCGCGAUUGGAGCGGCCGAUAUCAGAUUAGGUAGUUGGUGGGGUAAAGGCUCACCAAGCCAACGAUCUGUAGCUGGUCUGAGAGGACGACCAGCCACACUGGAACUGAGACACGGUCCAGACUCCU
Molecule: ribosomal RNA, 307 nt
Filed under: uncultured bacterium
Lineage: Bacteria
Description: bacterial SSU rRNA
Rfam family: Bacterial small subunit ribosomal RNA
Source: RNAcentral